GUCUGGGCGGUGACGUUUGGUCUGAGCUGACCUUUCCUCACAAUCGUGAAUUUGGGCUGUGAGGAUCAGGCCUUGUCAGAACCCGAGAUGAGAGGAGAGAGAUUUCUGGUUCAGUAAGGGUGAGAGCCAGGCUCCAGACUAUAGUGAAUUUUCCGAGGAGAUAUGUGUGGGUCCUGAAUACCAUCCCAAGUGUCCUUAUAAGAGAGAGGCAAAAGAGGCAAUAGAGACACAGAAAAGAAAGCCAUGUGAAGAUGGAGCAGAGAGAUAUAUGGCCACAAGCCAAGGAAUGCUGACAGCUGCCAGAAGCUGGAAGAAGGCAAGGAAUGGACUCUCCCCUACAGCCUCCAGAGGCAAUGCAGCCCUGCCAACACUUUGAUUUUAGACUUCUGGCCUAUAGAACUGAGAAAGAAUAAAUUUCUGUUCUUUUCAGCUACUAAGUUUGUGAUCACUUGGUGCAGCAUUUACAGGAAACAAAUACACCUCUCCUUCUAGAACUCCAAUUAUGUGAACAUUAGACCAUCUAAUAUUGCCCCACAUGUUCCUGAGGCUCUCUGUUCAUUUUCUUUUUAAUCUAUUUUUCUCUGUUCUUCAGAUUGGACAAUUGCUCUCUUUUUUGUUUGUUUGUUUUUUUGAGAUGGAGUUUCGCUCUUGUCGCCCAGG
Molecule: long non-coding RNA, 660 nt
Filed under: Homo sapiens (human)
Lineage: Eukaryota; Metazoa; Chordata; Mammalia; Primates; Hominidae
Description: HSALNT0390884
Source: RNAcentral